RNAcentral lists this ribosomal RNA (118 nucleotides) under Bostrychia tenella. The record is from RNAcentral. Lineage: Eukaryota; Rhodophyta; Florideophyceae; Ceramiales; Rhodomelaceae.
UCUUGAUAUUAAUAGCGCAUUGGACCCACUCCAAACCAUUCCGAACUUGGUUGUUAAACUUUGCAGCGACGACGAUACUGAAAGGGAAACUUUUUGGGAAAAUAGUUCAAUAUCAGGA